Molecule: ribosomal RNA, 1310 nt
Filed under: Staphylococcus aureus
Lineage: Bacteria; Bacillati; Bacillota; Bacilli; Caryophanales; Staphylococcaceae
Description: bacterial SSU rRNA
Rfam family: Bacterial small subunit ribosomal RNA
Source: RNAcentral
GAUAACCUACCUAUAAGACUGGGAUAACUUCGGGAAACCGGAGCUAAUACCAGAUAAUAUUUUGAACCGCAUGGUUCAAAAGUGAAAGACGGUCUUGCUGUCACUUAUAGAUGGAUCCGCGCUGCAUUAGCUAGUUGGUAAGGUAACGGCUUACCAAGGCAACGAUGCAUAGCCGACCUGAGAGGGUGAUCGGCCACACUGGAACUGAGACACGGUCCAGACUCCUACGGGAGGCAGCAGUAGGGAAUCUUCCGCAAUGGGCGAAAGCCUGACGGAGCAACGCCGCGUGAGUGAUGAAGGUCUUCGGAUCGUAAAACUCUGUUAUUAGGGAAGAACAUAUGUGUAAGUAACUGUGCACAUCUUGACGGUACCUAAUCAGAAAGCCACGGCUAACUACGUGCCAGCAGCCGCGGUAAUACGUAGGUGGCAAGCGUUAUCCGGAAUUAUUGGGCGUAAAGCGCGCGUAGGCGGCCCUUUAAGUCUGAUGUGAAAGCCCACGGCUCAACCGUGGAGGGUCAUUGGAAACUGGAAAACUUGAGUGCAGAAGAGGAAAGUGGAAUUCCAUGUGUAGCGGUGAAAUGCGCAGAGAUAUGGAGGAACACCAGUGGCGAAGGCGACCCUCUGGUCUGUAACUGACGCUGAUGUGCGAAAGCGUGGGGAUCAAACAGGAUUAGAUACCCUGGUAGUCCACGCCGUAAACGAUGAGUGCUAAGUGUUACCGGGUUUCCGCCCCUUAGUGCUGCAGCUAACGCAUUAAGCACUCCGCCUGGGGAGUACGACCGCAAGGUUGAAACUCAAAGGAAUUGACGGGGACCCGCACAAGCGGUGGAGCAUGUGGUUUAAUUCGAAGCAACGCGAAGAACCUUACCCCAUCUUGACAUCCUUUGACAACUCUAGAGAUAGAGCCUUCCCCUUCGGGGGACAAAGUGACAGGUGGUGCAUGGUUGUCGUCAGCUCGUGUCGUGAGAUGUUGGGUUAAGUCCCGCAACGAGCGCAACCCUUAAGCUUAGUUGCCAUCAUUAAGUUGGGCACUCUAAGUUGACUGCCGGUGACAAACCGGAGGAAGGUGGGGAUGACGUCAAAUCAUCAUGCCCCUUAUGAUUUGGGCUACACACGUGCUACAAUGGACAAUACAAAGGGCAGCGAAACCGCGAGGUCAAGCAAAUCCCAUAAAGUUGUUCUCAGUUCGGAUUGUAGUCUGCAACUCGACUACAUGAAGCUGGAAUCGCUAGUAAUCGUAGAUCAGCAUGCUACGGUGAAUACGUUCCCGGGUCUUGUACACACCGCCCGUCACACCACGAGAGUUUGUA